CUCCCUGCAGAUCCCCCCAGCCUGCCUCUGCCAAGGACCUUGACCUAUCAGGGACUUGGUCGCCACGCUUAGCUCCCCCUGACCUGCUUUUGAACCCGCUAAUCCCACCCCAACUCUUUGCCCGACGUUCGCUCCACGCGCUAAUUCCCGCUCGCCCCGCAACCCCCACUCCCUCUCGGCCCCGGCCCCGAGACUCUGAAGGGCACCACCAGGGCUCCACACGGUGUCCCCGACUCACGCCCCGAGCUCCAUACCAAAGCAAACGGCCUCAGCUACAAACACCUCUCCUCUUGGCUCUCCUUAAUGUAAUUCGUUUAAAGAAAAUAAUAGCCAUAUAAAUAUCACAGUCUUCUGUAACGGCAACGAAUCUGGCAAAGUGGCUGUGCAGUGGAGCCUGGGAAGGGGAAGGGGGCCCCCCCAAAGCCAGAAAGGCUGCAAGAAACGCAGAGCCAG
This 453-nucleotide long non-coding RNA is filed under the name Peromyscus maniculatus bairdii (prairie deer mouse). RNAcentral describes it as "Vax2os1 conserved region 2 (ENSPEMG00000004794.2)". It matches the Rfam family "Vax2os1 conserved region 2". Lineage: Eukaryota; Metazoa; Chordata; Mammalia; Rodentia; Cricetidae. The record is from RNAcentral.